This 426-nucleotide ribosomal RNA is filed under the name uncultured bacterium. Its description in RNAcentral is "partial 16S ribosomal RNA". It matches the Rfam family "Bacterial small subunit ribosomal RNA", at positions 354 to 796 of the family's 1533-position model. The record is from RNAcentral.
GUGAGGAAUUUUCCGCAAUGGGCGAAAGCCUGACGGAGCAAUGCCGCGUGAAGGAUGAAGGCCUAUGGGUUGUAAACUUCUUUUCUUAGAGAAGAAUAUUGACGGUAUCUGAGGAAUAAGCAUCAGCUAACUCUGUGCCAGCAGCCGCGGUAAGACAGAGGAUGCAAGCGUUAUCCGGAAUGAUUGGGCGUAAAGCGUCUGUAGGUGGCUUCAAAAGUCUCCUGUCAAAGAUCAGGGCUUAACCCUGGGCCGGCAGGAGAAACUCUGAGGCUAGAGUUUGGUAGGGGCAGAGGGAAUUCCCGGUGGAGCGGUGAAAUGCGUAGAGAUCGGGAGGAACACCAAAGGCGAAAGCACUCUGCUGGGCCACAACUGACACUGAGAGACGAAAACGAGGGGAGCAAAAGGGAUUAGAUACCCCGGUAGUCC